UAAAACAGAAAUCCGAAAUCCGCAAAAGCGUCUCCUGUCUCCUUGCUCGCGAUCGCCUUAUCAUUCACAUGGUGAAGGAGAGGCGAGCAAUCCUUAACGCACGCAAUUCUUGAUUAUUAUUAUUAUUAUUUUUUAUUUUUCCACCUCUCUUCUCCCCCUUCUCAGUCCCCGCUGCUCCGCUUCUUUCUCGUCUACUCCAAGCCUUACCCUAAUCGUACGCGAUCAGAGUUCGCAGGUUCUGUUAACCUGAAUCGACGCCGGUGACGCAGAGGUUAGAAUCGGAACUGGCAUGGAAAGCGGGAUGGAGGCUCAAGUCAAUCCCCUCUUGAGUUUUUUUGCCGCCUUUUCUUAUGGUAUAGCAUCAAUGACUAUGGUCUUUAUUAACAAGGCAGUGUUAAUGCAGUAUGGCUACUCUAUGAGUCUCCUUACCUUACAGCAAUUGGUCACAGCCCUUCUCAUACACUUUGGCAAAGUCAUGGGACAUACAAAAGCCAAAAUGAACAUGACGACAGCUAAGAAACUCCUUCCAGUGUCGGUGUUCUACAAUGCAAAUGUGGCGUUUGCACUGGCAAGCUUGAAGGGCAUCAAUAUUCCAAUGUACAUAGCUUUGAAGAGGCUCACCCCUCUUGCAGUUUUGGUGGUUGGAUUUCUCAGAGGAAAGGGAAGGCCUUCAACUCAGGUAAAAAAUCAGCUUGCUCUUUUCCCUGAGGCACGAGCAAUGGAUUUUAGUUACUUACAUUUCUUAUGUUUGGUUGGUUUUGUUUUUGGCACUAAUACAAUGUCCAUGUGGUGCUAACUUUUUUCUAAUGAUCAAUUAGCAACCCCAAUAAGCAAUCUCUCUCUAUGGGGAUUAUUUCAUUAUUGCUGAUUGGCGGAAGAAAAUCAGUGGCUUGAAGUGAAUGUUGCUUAUUCGUAUUGUAUUUGACCUCUUUUUAUUCUAACUCCAGGUUUUUGUUUAAAAUUAAAUUUAUAUUGUUUUAGUCGCCUUAACAAAUAUUGGUUGGAUUAGAACAUUCUGACUGAUAUUAUUUGUCUGGCAUAAGUAAUUCCACGUCUUUUAUGCUUCUCUUUACACUGAUGAAAAGAAUAUCAUCAAUAAAUGUUGAGUUCGACACUGUAUUUUGACUGUCCUCUUGUUUUCAAAAAUUUUGCUGACGAGGAAAGAGCGUAUUCAGAAUAAUCUGAAGGAAAUAGUUAGCAUAAUUAAUUUAGUAUGCUUUUCUGGUGUGCGAUAUUUUUUGAAAGCAAUAACCCUGAAAACUGCAUAAUAUAUUAAGAUUCGGUUUGGACAAGGGACCUGAGAUAAAUAAAAAAAUAAAAAUGACUAUCCUCUCUGUUAAAUUGAAUUUUAUAUAAGGGUUAUUACAUUCACGGAUUUUGCUUAUUUCAAAUGAAUCUAUCUUAACUAGCGUUCCUGAGCAUGAAUCUACCUGGCAUAUUGUCACUCAAUAAUUACUUGGCUUCACUCGGAUGUUUAAAUGACCUUUCAGGUAUCUCUUUCAGUCAUCCUCACUGCUGUGGGAGUCAUCAUUGCAGCACUAGGAGACUUCUCCUUUGAUUUCUAUGGGUACACCAUGGCCCUCACUUCUGUUUUCUUCCAGGUGAAAAAUGUUUGCAUGUUUUACUUUGUUAGAUAUUGGAAAGUUUGAUAAAGAAAGGUAAAGUGUGAGUUAUUACUUAUUAACAUAUGUUGUUAAGCUGGUUUAAUAUGCACAUGUAUUUUUUCCCAAUUAGAUUAACAGCUGGUCAUGAUUGUAGACUAUGUAUCUGGUGCUGGUAGAGAAAUCUGGAGCAGAGGAGGGGCUUACUUCAGUUGAAAUAAUGUUCUAUAAUGCCUUGAUAUCUCUCCCAUUUCUGUUUUUCCUUAUCAUAGCAACAGGAGAAUUUCCACACUCUGUCUCAUUGUUGUACGAAAAGGUCAGAAACAACCUCUAGUAUCUCAGUUCCAUGAUUUCAAAUAAUGUUUAUGCUUGAGAUAUUUUUUGUUAGUAAACUUCCAAAUUUUACAUCAUCAUGGAAAGCAUCACUUGUUUGUUAUUCACAAACGGUUCAAAUCUGAGUCUUAUCGUGUUAUCAUUUAUUAUACUGAAAGUCAGAUGCAUAUCCAACAGUCCAGCCUGUACUGUAUAGGUUGUUUAUUUUCUAUUAUUUCCUUCUAGAACAAGUAUCAUUUUAUGUAGAGGAACAUUGAGGAAUAGUAAGUCUACAGUGUGUGUAGUUCGAUUGAAUUUAGACCAUUGGUUUCUUAGUCAUCCACCAGCUUUCUUGGCCUUUGAAAUGGUCCGGGCUUGGCGAAGGAUUUUAGUUAGACCUGCAAAUUACAAUGUUACAAGCUGUUAAGAUAAUAUUUAAAUCUAUAAGAUUGACAUGGUCAUAGUGGUGAAUUGAAAUGGUAAAAUCAAUAUUGGGCAAAGGAUGAUCAAGUUUUUUUUAAUCUAAUAGUUGCAUUAUUGUGAACAUUUAUUUUGUAUAUGUACAUUGUUCAUAAAUGAACUUAUGAUAUUGGCUUUUGCAAUAAGAAUUUGAGACCUUAGAGAUGCAAAAUUCAAGCAGAAAAACUAAAUCUUGCCUGAGAAAAAUGCAAGCUCUCAUGUCAGAUUGAAUCAGAAAGUCAGAUUGGACCUUUCAAGUUUUUCCCAACCCUAUUUCUCAGGAGUAAUGUUUAGCCCACCCUUCACUGAUUCUCCAUUGUGAAGGACCUUGUGCAAAGAUCGUCUUUUUUUUUCCUUUCAGUAAUUUUGAACUUGGACUAGAAGAAAAGUAUGUCAUGUGUGUUGGCUAGGAAAUUGAUAGGUAAUGCUGUGGCACCUUCUUAGAAAGUUUACAAGUUCUUGGUAAUUCCGUAACCAUAAAAGCAAUCAACGAUUCUUGUCAUCUCGCCUGAUAUCUACAUGUUUAUAAUCAUUCAGUUAAUGAUUGGUUCAGCUCAGUUUUGUUGAUAACCUGUGUUUGUGCAUCAUCAGUUUAUUCAAUUAAUUCGAUGUUUUUCUAACAUGGCAGGCGUAUUCAUUUACAUUCCUUCUGAUUCUCGUUCUGUCAUUGAUAAUGGGCAUCGUUCUGAACUUCACGAUGUUCUGGUGUACCAUUGUGAACUCUGCUCUGACAACCACGAUCGUAGGAGUUCUCAAGGGUGUCGUGUCCACAACCCUUGGGUUCAUCUUGUUGGGUGGGGUUCAACUACAUGCUUUAAAUGUGACUGGAUUGGUCAUCAACACAGCAGGUGGCGUGUGGUAUUCAUAUGCUAAGUACCGGCAAAAGAAGAAAAUCCCUCGCAAGGUGCUGUCCCAAGAAGAUCUAGUUAAAAACAAAGUUUGAAUUAGAUAGAAGCACGUGGCCUUCUCGUGCUUAGAAAUACGAAAGAAGAAAGGAAGAAUUACAAGAGAAUAAUUCAUUGGAAUUUGGAAUAGUUGAUUUGUUACAACCAUAACAAUGUUCUUAAAAAUAUUCUUGAAUUGUAAACCAUUCUUUUUCCUUCCAGUUACGGUGGAAUGUUGAUUUGUAAUUGUAAUUGACAAACUCCAUCCAUUUAUAUGUUGAUAAGGACCACAAAUCGUAGGGUUCAUAGGGUUGCAAAUUCAUCUUCGGCUUCCCUCGCCCGCGGGCUCCAUUUCGUCAUUCUCUCUUCCCGAUCCAGGCUAGGUUUUAUCCCUGAUCUGUGCGCCGGCGGUAGCUCAAGUGAAGUUCAGCUGCAAGCCCCGGUUGACGUCUACUUACCGUAGCUCCCCGGGAAAGCAAUAGCAGGAGAGAGCUCAGAGCCUCAAAGGUGGUACUUUUGUCCGGAAAAUGCUGGGGUAUUCGAUCGAGGGCCGAUGCGAACAAGAGAGAAGAUCAUCCUUCUUCGUCUCUUCCGCUGCGGGCGAAGAAGAACCACCGGCGAUGGAUUGAGGCGACGGUAGAAACGCCACCAGCUUGGAAUGGAGCCGAGAGACCCAGUGCCGAGCGCAUUUCUCCGUCUUCCUCUUCGGUCGCUGCUGGAACAAUCACUUGCGCCGGUGCUAUCUCAUCUUUCCUUCCGCCUUGGUCUCUCCGCGAUUCUAGAUUUGUGUUUCCUCUGUUCCACUCAAACGGUUUGGCGCGGCCAACUGAUUCUAGAUCGGAUCGGAAUACGAAUGUCCGGUUUUGAGACAGAUCAGCAAAUCCAUACGGUUUUGAAAGAAUUUAGCCGAUUUCCGUUUACCACCAGUUGGAAGAUGAUUCAGAUGAUCUGUGCGAUCCUUGCGAAUUCGAGGCGGAUUGACAGUGUGCGAGAUUGAACUUGAAGGCUCGCGUCCGCUAGCCCGGAGAUCCUUUGAUAUAGAGAGAUGUGGAGAAGAGUGAGAAUUACUGGCAUUCAAAGUGCAGUUGCUACCUGGCAUCAGAAUCCACUGGUUGAUGAAAAUGUUGCCAAGAUCAGGGCAGAUAUCACAAAGGAACACAGCUGUCGACACAUUCAUCACAACUGACGAAUUUGCUCACAAGCAUAAGGAAGGCAUUCCCAUGUUUAUUGAUGGAGAUAAAGACAUCUUUGGAAACUUGCAACAACACAAUUGAUUCACUUCUACUCCUCAAACAACAAAUACAUUUCAGAAGUUUGUAGCCACCAUCAGCCCAUGCAUCUUAUAUGCAGGUUUAAUGGAUGCAACCAUGCACGACACCAGACGAAUACGUUCAAGUUCAUUCCUAUCUUUGCUUGAGAGAAUAUCAAGUAGGCAUGCAAUCCGUGAGAUGGUAGCUGCAGUAACAGUGACGAUGGAGAUAACAGCAGUGACAUGCGUUGAAUCCAACACUGCCUCUUUCUCUAUUGCCUCAUCAUCGACAUUCAAUGGAUUUGACAACAACUUGUGAUCAGUUAAUUCUCACCCUCUCGAUCCUGAUCCAAAUCCAACUAUGUAAACUGGUCCUGCCUGCAAACUCCUCAAUUAAUUAUCGUCAUAUGAAGUACAAAAUACACCAACUCAAACUGGUUGCAAGUUUGAGGAGUGGUGCCUACAGAAGACCAACCAAACUCUGCUGCAUCUCAAUUGCUGUGCCAGUUAAUUUCUUGGUACAACCACAUCAAGAAGCAGACACUGUUUCUCGAUUUGAUAUGCCUCGAGGAAUGAGGAGGUCAAUAAUAUAUUAUAUAGUUUUAUUCAUAACCAGCUUCGAGUGUGGCUAUUUAUACUCCCUCUUCCAACUUAAAUUCUACUUCUUCAAACUUCUAUCUAUUGCUGAUGUUCAUGGCUAGGUCAGCGGCAACGUCGAAGAGGAAGGCAAUCAGCAGAUCAAGACUGGUGAAGACGCCACUGCAGCAUGUGGUGGUGCUAAGGAAGCUGAGGAGGCUUAAGAAGCUUGUCCCAGGGUGCUGCAGGAGCACCGCUAUUGGAUUAGAGGAAUUGCUGAGGAGGACUGCGCAGUAUAUCUCAUUCCUGGAGUUGAAAGUGAUUCUUCUUAAGAGGACCAUUGACUUCAUGGGGAUUAACAAACUUAAAUAAUUAUCCAGCUUUAGCGGAGUUAAUUUCAUGCUGAAUGUGUGUGUGUUCAUCGUAUGUGUUAAUUUAGCAGUGUCCCCUUCCUGGUAGACCGUACGGAUCACAUGAGAUCUUGUAGUCGCCUAUAUAUAUGUUUGCAUGAAUAAACAUUGCACCUCUGCUUUCAGUCUUCCUGUUCCUGGUUACAAAUGGCUGGCUGUUUCCGGCAAAGGCAAGUUCUGUUCAUAUUUGAGGGACCCCACCAUAUCUAGCUAGUUCCACACACUUGAUCUUCUUUGGUUAAUUCAUGUGUCGUCACAACACAACUGAACUGAACUGCACUGCACUGAUAUCUCUAUGUGCUUGGACUCAUCUUUGGUUAUACUCUUGUUCUUGCAGGAUUAAAAAGGUCAUUCCAAUGCCAUAAUGAGAUUAUAUCUAUCUACCUCCAUCCGUCCGGCAAACAUGCAUUGAUCAAACAUUGAAAUGAGUGAUAAAAGUUGGAGGAACAGUUCCACAUCUUGUCGCCCAUGUUUCCUGGAUCUUGCAACACAGUUUCUACAAUUUUUGUUACUCAUCUCCUGUUCAUGCUUUACAUAAGAUCUCAGGUGAAAAAAAAUUAAAAUGAGGCUCUCUGUUUAUUUUUUUCUUCAUGUUGAGGAAAACAUCA
Zingiber officinale is the source of this 6099-nucleotide RNA transcript. It is a transcript of the gene named UDP-galactose/UDP-glucose transporter 7, with no coding region annotated. NCBI's taxonomy places the organism in Eukaryota, Viridiplantae, Streptophyta, Magnoliopsida, Zingiberales, Zingiberaceae. The transcript has 11 exons. The record is from RefSeq and is a predicted model, not a curated record.